CUGCCUUCUGCAACACACCCAGCAGUCUCUUCCGAGAAGGUACAGCCAGGAGGUCACCCAGGGUUUCUUUCCACCAGAUGGGAGACAGAACCAUGCUGGGUCCCCUUGCCAUCCUGUGUGCUCUCCUAUUUCCUGGCGGUGGAGCAGGGCUCAAGCUGAGUCAGACUGAUUUAUUGGUGGCACGCAUGGGCAGUUCACAUCCUCUGGAUUGCCAGGUGGACAGUUGGGUCAACAACAUCCACUGGUACCGCCACCAGGAGGGUACGGCACCGAAGAGGCUCCUCUACCUAGACAUGUCCACAUUCCGUGUGCAACAGGAUUAUGUCCUGAAAGCUGACAAAGUCAAUGCUAAGAAGGGCAAGAAUAGAAACAGCUGCACUCUAUGGGUGAUGAAACUGGAGAAAAGUGACGAGGGCGUGUACUACUGUGCUGCCUGGGAAGGCUGGAUCAAGAUAUCUGUGGAAGGAACUAAGCUUAUAAUAACUUCUCCUGAUAAAAGUCCUGAUGAAGAUAUUUCUCCCAAGCCCACAGUUUUUCUUCCUUCAGUUGCUGAAGUAGAAGUCCAUAAGGCUGGGACAUAUCUUUGUCUUCUUGAGGAUUUUUUCCCUGAUGUUAUCAAGGUAGAUUGGCAAGAAAAGGAUGACAAAACAAUUCUGAAAUCCCAGCAGGGAGACACCAUGAAGACUAAGGACACAUACAUGAAAUUUAGCUGGCUGACUGUGACUGGAGCAUCAAUGGAUAAAGAACACAAAUGUAUCGUCAACCACGAAAGUGGAAAAAAAGUUGUUCAAGAGAUACUUUUUCCUUCAGUAAACAAAGGUUUGAUGGCUGUGACAGAAUCUGAAAUGGACUCCCAGGGACAUUCAGUAACAAAGCGAAACAUAGAGCUGGUAACCGUGAGUCCUUUGAAUUCAGGAUAUUUCUCACCUGAUCCAAUGGCUGUGGAGUUUGCUGCUAUUAACUCCACAAAAUCUUCUGUGAAUGAUGAAAAUGACACCCUGCAGCUGCAACUUGGGAACACAUCUGCCUACUAUACCUACCUCCUCCUCCUCCUGAAGAGCCUGAUCUACUCCGUCAUCAUCGUCAUCUGUCUGCUUGGGAGACCAGCACUCAGUGGCAUUGGGAAGAGUUCCUAACACAUGGUGGCACAAGGUUCACUUCUUGCCAUUGGUUAGUGUCCCUAAAAGUAUCUGCUGAGGAUCUAGUGAGCCUUCUUUCUGAUAUUGGGUUAUUUCAGUUCACAUGUGUCUUUUCUUGUGUCAUUAUCUGAGAACAGGCUUACAAACCCCCUGACAAACAGAAGCUUUCACUCUGCAGCUAGAACAGAUUCUGCCAUGACUCAGGGGCCGGGCCAGGGGGCAUCCACAGAGUCUUCUGCACCACCCCCUCAUUGUUGUCCACCAGCUCCCAGCCACCCAGUCCCCAUGCCUCUGGGUACA
Molecule: non-coding RNA, 1439 nt
Organism: Neogale vison (American mink)
Lineage: Eukaryota; Metazoa; Chordata; Mammalia; Carnivora; Mustelidae
Source: the annotation of a RefSeq genome assembly